Xyrauchen texanus (razorback sucker) is the source of this 469-nucleotide long non-coding RNA. RefSeq lists it as uncharacterized. The transcript has 3 exons. Lineage: Eukaryota; Metazoa; Chordata; Actinopteri; Cypriniformes; Catostomidae. The record is from RefSeq and is a predicted model, not a curated record.
AAUACUGUUAUUUCAAUAAACAGUUUAAUCCUGUAAAUUUACAGUCUAUGUUCCAUAAAUUAAUUACUUGACGUAAAUUUACAGCAUUUAUGUGUAAACCCAUUUGUUUCUGGAAAAAAACAGUCUUGGACUGUAAAAAAAUAGCACGUGGGGGCGGGGCAUCUUCAACGCAGUCUAUUUUCGAACAGAAAGCAGUCAAAUUAACAGAAUUGUUUCGCAACACUCAUCUAGAAGGACACUGUUCAAGGAAUCAUUCACUUGAUGUAAAGGUUUUACUGAGACAGUGCACAGCCCUAAUCUUUGGGAGGGCAGAGAACUGUACUGAACGCUGGAUGAUUACCCUAGAGAGUCGUGUUGUUUGUGAGGGCAUACAACCAAGAUUCCUGACUGCAAUAGCAACCAUGUUUGCAAUGUUCUACGUCUUCAAUGUUAAGUAUCCAGAGGAGGCAUGUGGCACCUUGGAAUUCAU